UUAGGGUUGAAAAUUAUUAGACUAUUAUAAUCUCUCAAACUAUUCAAUUGCAUAUGUUAGAUUAUUAGCUAAGUACAUGACUUGAGAAAUAUAGAAAAGAAGUAGUCAAGCAGGCAAAAAAUUCACUCGGCCAAGUUGGGCACCGACUCGAUCAAGUUAAACACUCGA
Molecule: long non-coding RNA, 168 nt
Organism: Ipomoea nil (Japanese morning glory)
Lineage: Eukaryota; Viridiplantae; Streptophyta; Magnoliopsida; Solanales; Convolvulaceae
Exons: 3
Source: RefSeq, a predicted model, not a curated record